RNAcentral lists this transfer RNA (82 nucleotides) under prasinophyte sp. MBIC10622. RNAcentral's name for it is "tRNA-Leu". It matches the Rfam family "tRNA". Rfam says of the family: Transfer RNA (tRNA) molecules are approximately 80 nucleotides in length. The record is from RNAcentral. Lineage: Eukaryota; Viridiplantae; Chlorophyta.
GCGGAUGUGGCGGAAUUGGUAGACGCGCUAGAUUUAGGUUCUAGUGGGGUAACCUGUGAGAGUUCGAGUCUCUCCAUCCGCA